UCUGGUUCCCAAACCAUUCUUUCUUCUUUUUUUUUUCAUUUUCUCCCUCCAUUUCUCUUCCUCUUUUCCCUUCUCUACGGUGGUGGUCCGCGCCGACGCCGUCCGGGCCGCAGCGCUACUCGAUCCCGGACGCGCCGACGCCUUCCGCGCCGACGCCUUCCAGGCUUUCCAGGCCGCGCGCUACACGAUCGCUCUCGGACGCGGUGCGCUCCCUCGGCCCUGUGAGGAUCAAUCCCGGGCAACGAUCUGAGGAUUUAGUUCUCCAACUGCGGCGGUUCCGGCACCUUCGAUCCCUGACGCCGUUCUCGGGAAGAUCUCGAAGGUGAUUGAUGGCAUUUACUACAAGUUUUUUUGAAGAUAGAACAGUUUGGUGCAAAUGUAACAAGAUAGCUUUAAUAAGAACUUCACGACAAGAUAGCUUUAUUGUAUUCAUUUUAGUAAUUAUAUGUAUUAAACUUCUAUUCAUCUAAAUGUAAUAUGAUCCACUGUGUUCAUUUGAGGUGUAUGUAGGAUAUUUGCCUCACUUCUAAUUUUUGAACCAACCUUGACAAUUUCAUGUGAUCACUCGAUGAUGUGGUGCAGCUUCGUCUCAAUGAAUCCGCUGAUUCAUCUGUGUUUGUAA
Ananas comosus (pineapple) is the source of this 622-nucleotide long non-coding RNA. RefSeq lists it as uncharacterized. The record is from RefSeq and is a predicted model, not a curated record. Lineage: Eukaryota; Viridiplantae; Streptophyta; Magnoliopsida; Poales; Bromeliaceae. The transcript is spliced from 2 exons.